UACGAAGGGGGCUAGCGUUGUUCGGAAUCACUGGGCGUAAAGCGCACGUAGGCGGACUUCUAAGUCAGGGGUGAAAUCCCAGGGCUCAACCCUGGAACUGCCCUUGAUACUGGAAGUCUCGAGUCCGGGAGAGGUGAGUGGAACUCCGAGUGUAGAGGUGAAAUUCGUAGAUAUUCGGAAGAACACCAGUGGCGAAGGCGACUCACUGGCCCGAUACUGACGCUGAGGCGCGAAAGCGUGGGGAGCAAACAGG
RNAcentral lists this ribosomal RNA (253 nucleotides) under uncultured bacterium. RNAcentral describes it as "partial 16S ribosomal RNA". It matches the Rfam family "Bacterial small subunit ribosomal RNA", at positions 524 to 776 of the family's 1533-position model. The record is from RNAcentral.